CUAGCCGUAAACGAUGGACACUAGUUGCCGGAAGAGUCAAUCCUUCGGUGACGAAGCUAACGCAUUAAGUGUCCCGCCUGGGAAGUACGCCCGCAAGGGUGAAACUCAAAGGAAUUGACGGGGGCCCGCACAAGCGGUGGAGCAUGUGCUUUAAUUCGAUGCAACGCGAAGAACCUUACCUGGGCUUGACAUGGGGGUGAAAGGUCGCAGAGAUGUGAUCCCUUCCGCAAGGAACACCCUACACAGGUGC
RNAcentral lists this ribosomal RNA (250 nucleotides) under uncultured bacterium. Its description in RNAcentral is "partial 16S ribosomal RNA". It matches the Rfam family "Bacterial small subunit ribosomal RNA", at positions 796 to 1041 of the family's 1533-position model. The record is from RNAcentral.